Carcharodon carcharias (great white shark) is the source of this 484-nucleotide long non-coding RNA. RefSeq lists it as uncharacterized. Lineage: Eukaryota; Metazoa; Chordata; Chondrichthyes; Lamniformes; Lamnidae. The record is from RefSeq and is a predicted model, not a curated record. The transcript has 3 exons.
CCAAAAUAUUCCUGCCCUUUUUCCAAGACUACUUUCAGAUGGGCCUGAGAACUUUUAAGACAGAGCACAGUAUUCACGUGGCAAAGUAACCCCAGCCCAUUCAGUGAUGCGGGUAAGACCAAAACUAGUAAGAGCUCAAAACUUCUCAAAUGUGGAUUUGCAAGUGCUGGUGGAAUAAGUAAGGAGGAGAUGAGAUAGGUUCUUGGGCUAUCAGAGAAGGAAAAUGGUGAAAGCAGCAGCUCCAACCAUGUGGAACAAGUUGGCAUUGGUGCAGACUGCUCUCUCUCUCUCUCACCACCAGGAUAGCACGCCACUGCUGGAAGAAAUUCAAUGACCCUACGAGGACAGGCAAGUAUCAAAACCCACAUAGCAAACAGUUAUCAAAUGAUGGGGUACUAAAUAGAAAGGAUGGGUUUCAUAAUUGGAAUACUUAUGAAGGGUGUGGACAUCACCGGCAAAGGGAGCAUUUGUUGCCCAUCAUGAA